GACGAACGCUGGCGGCGUGCUUAACACAUGCAAGUCGAACGGAAAGGCCCCUUUGGGGGUACUCGAGUGGCGAACGGGUGAGUAACACGUGAGUAACCUGCCCUUGACUUCGGGAUAACUUCAGGAAACUGGGGCUAAUACCGGAUAGGAAUCCUUGCUGCAUGGUGGGGGUUGGAAAGCUUCGGCGGUUUGGGAUGGACUCGCGGCUUAUCAGCUUGUUUGUGGGGUAGUGGCUUACCAAGGCUUUGACGGGUAGCCGGCCUGAGAGGGCGACCGGCCAAAUUGGGACUGGGGUACGGCCCAGACUCCUACGGGAGGGAGGAGUGGGGAAUAUUGGACAAUGGGGGGAAGCCUGAUGCAGCAAAGCCGCGUGGGGGAUGACGGGCUUCGGGUUGUAAACCGCUUUCAGCAGGGGAGAAGCUUGUGGUGACGGUAACUGCAGAAGAAGCACCGGCUAACUACGUG
RNAcentral lists this ribosomal RNA (465 nucleotides) under uncultured bacterium. Its description in RNAcentral is "partial 16S ribosomal RNA". It matches the Rfam family "Bacterial small subunit ribosomal RNA", at positions 28 to 507 of the family's 1533-position model. The record is from RNAcentral.